Molecule: ribosomal RNA, 1018 nt
Filed under: uncultured bacterium
Lineage: Bacteria
Description: bacterial SSU rRNA
Rfam family: Bacterial small subunit ribosomal RNA
Source: RNAcentral
AGGAAUAUUGGUCAAUGGGCGAGAGCCUGAACCAGCCAAGUAGCGUGCAGGAUGACGGCCCUAUGGGUUGUAAACUGCUUUUAUAAGGGAAUAAAGUGAGAGUCGUGACUCUUUUUGCAUGUACCUUAUGAAUAAGGACCGGCUAAUUCCGUGCCAGCAGCCGCGGUAAUACGGAAGGUCCGGGCGUUAUCCGGAUUUAUUGGGUUUAAAGGGAGCGUAGGCCGGAGAUUAAGCGUGUUGUGAAAUGUAGACGCUCAACGUCUGCACUGCAGCGCGAACUGGUUUCCUUGAGUACGCACAAAGUGGGCGGAAUUCGUGGUGUAGCGGUGAAAUGCUUAGAUAUCACGAAGAACUCCGAUUGCGAAGGCAGCUCACUGGAGCGCAACUGACGCUGAAGCUCGAAAGUGCGGGUAUCGAACAGGAUUAGAUACCCUGGUAGUCCGCACGGUAAACGAUGGAUGCCCGCUGUUGGUCUGAACAGGUCAGCGGCCAAGCGAAAGCAUUAAGCAUCCCACCUGGGGAGUACGCCGGCAACGGUGAAACUCAAAGGAAUUGACGGGGGCCCGCACAAGCGGAGGAACAUGUGGUUUAAUUCGAUGAUACGCGAGGAACCUUACCCGGGCUUGAAUUGCAGAGGAAGGAUUUGGAGACAAUGACGCCCUUCGGGGUCUCUGUGAAGGUGCUGCAUGGUUGUCGUCAGCUCGUGCCGUGAGGUGUCGGCUUAAGUGCCAUAACGAGCGCAACCCCUCUCCUUAGUUGCCAUCAGGUCAAGCUGGGCACUCUGGGGACACUGCCACCGUAAGGUGUGAGGAAGGUGGGGAUGACGUCAAAUCAGCACGGCCCUUACGUCCGGGGCUACACACGUGUUACAAUGGCAGGUACAGAGAGACGGUCCCUUGCAAAAUGGAUCAAAUCCUUAAAGCCUGUCUCAGUUCGGACUGGGGUCUGCAACCCGACCCCACGAAGCUGGAUUCGCUAGUAAUCGCGCAUCAGCCAUGGCGCGGUGAAUACGUUCCCG